GAACACCUUUGGUAGAUGGUC
Molecule: non-coding RNA, 21 nt
Filed under: Rattus norvegicus (Norway rat)
Lineage: Eukaryota; Metazoa; Chordata; Mammalia; Rodentia; Muridae
Source: RNAcentral